UUUUUUAAGAAAUAAUUUAAAAUAAAACCUGCUCAAUGUAAUACAUAAAUAGCUGCAGAUUUCUGUACUAAGGUAGCAUAAUCAUUAGCUUUUUAAUUAAAAGAUAGAAUGAAUGGUUAAACGAAAUAAAUUCUGUUUCUACUUUUAAAAUGAAAUUAAAUAAUAAUUAAAGUUAAAAUUCUUUUAUAAAUAAGAAAGACGACAAGACCCUAAUAAACUUUCCAUUUAGCUGGGGCGGCAAAUUAAACAAACCUUAAACCUUCAACAAAAAAUCUAAUAUAAAUUAAUAUAUUAAGUUACUAUAGGGAUAACAGCGCAACUUUAACUUAAAGUUCUUAUUUAAAUUAAAAUCUACGACCUCGAUGUUGAAUUAAUUAAUCUAUUUAAAGCAAAAUUUUUAAAAGAAGGUCUGUUCGACCAAUAAUAAAUU
Molecule: ribosomal RNA, 430 nt
Filed under: Modisimus sp. Cu12-99
Lineage: Eukaryota; Metazoa; Arthropoda; Arachnida; Araneae; Pholcidae
Description: Platnicknia sp. Cu12-99 partial 16S ribosomal RNA
Source: RNAcentral